AUGGCGGCGCUCUGCAGCUGGCACGGCGUCAGCUGCACGGUGCACCAGCGCCGGCCGGUGAUCAGCGGCAUCACCCUGAGGAAGAUGCAACUUAGAGGGACGUUGGAGUUUCUCAACUUCACGGUGUUGACGACGCUGACAAGUCUCGACCUCUCUCACAACUACCUCUCCGGUGGCAUCCCUCCAGGCAUCAAAAUUCUCGAGGACCUCCAAAGUCUGCUCCUGCAAGGCAACCAGAUAAGAGGCUCAUACAACUAG
RNAcentral lists this ribosomal RNA (258 nucleotides) under Triticum aestivum (bread wheat). Its description in RNAcentral is "partial small subunit ribosomal RNA". The record is from RNAcentral. Lineage: Eukaryota; Viridiplantae; Streptophyta; Magnoliopsida; Poales; Poaceae.